Caretta caretta (loggerhead turtle) is the source of this 1885-nucleotide RNA transcript. It is a transcript of the gene named tetraspanin 2, with no coding region annotated. NCBI's taxonomy places the organism in Eukaryota, Metazoa, Chordata, Testudines, Cheloniidae. The record is from RefSeq and is a predicted model, not a curated record.
CCAUGCCCCAUCCUCUCCCUGCACCUGCCUCCCCCCGCGCCCCGGGAGCAGCCGGCGAGUCGGGGCGCGGAGCCGGAGCCCACCAUGGGCCGCCUGCGCUGCAUCAAGUUCCUGCUCUUCGCCUUCAACUUCGCCUUCUGGCUGGCAGGGUUGGCUGUCAUUGCCUUUGGACUAUGGUUGCGAUUUGGUGGGGUCCUGAGAGACUUAACCUCAGAGGAAAAAUCCCCAGAGUACUUCUACAUGGGGCUCUAUGUGCUGGUGGGAGCAGGGGCGCUGAUGGUGACAGUUGGAUUUUUUGGGUGCUGUGGAGCAGUGCGGGAGUCUCAGUACCUGCUUGGAGCGUUUUUUGCCUGCUUGCUGGUGAUAUUUGCUGCUGAAGUCACCGCUGGAGUGUUUGCAUUCAUAGGCAAAAAAGCGGCAGUACAGGAGGUCCAGACCAUCUAUGAAGAAGCUUAUAAAGACUAUGUGAUGGACAUGGGGAAGAGUAACGAAACUCUCAUUCAGUUCCACACAGCUCUUCAAUGCUGUGGUAAAGAAAGUGAGCUUCAGGUGAAGCCCACCUGUCCAGAGGGCAUCCAGGUGCCCAAGAACUGCCUGGAUGAAAUCCAGAAUUUAAUUAACUCGAAUCUGCAUUUAGUUGGAAUCGUUGGAAUUGGAAUUGCUGGCAUCACAAUCUUUGGCAUGAUAUUCAGCAUGGUUCUCUGCUGUGCUAUCCGCAAUACAAGGGACAUGCUCUAAAACUCACUGCACAAUUUCUAUGCUCCGGGACUUCCAGGCUUUACAAGACUUUACAAGAUGCAUUCUCAGAGUUUAAUAAUUGUAAUACAUUUUUGAUUAGUGUUUUAACCAACUGAGAGGAAAAGGCCUCAUUUGCAACACGGAGUCAGCCCGGAGAUGCCCACUUCUGCUUUUGAGAUGCACCAGUACACGAAUUGAUGCUUGCAGAAAACUUUUUGCUUGUUUACCUCUAAGUGCCUUUUAGAAACAGAGACGAGUGCCAGUAAGAAAAAUAUUUCAAUACAUUCAGACUUGAGUCACCUUGCUUUCUAAUGAAAUAGUUUUUUUCUAUACAGUGCUUUCAUAUUUAUAUACAUAACAGUUAUGUGUACUCUGGGUUCUAAUGCUAUCCAGAAAUAUUGGAUGCACUUUGUACUGAAGAUCAGGAAUAUAAUGGUACCAGUUAUUGGUUUAAUUCUCUGGAUUAUUAUUGUGCAUCAGGCCAGGAAGCAGCAUAUUUAAAAUGUCUAUCAGGGCCUUUAACAAAGUGUGGCCUUCCCAUCUUGCUAUUUCAUGCUGUUGUUUUGUAGACAGUAUAUUACUGCAUAAGUAACAGUUUCCUCUAUCCUGUAUUAGCAUUUGAAGGACAUUUUACUCUGAUCCAGUGGUUACUAGCAAUAGGAGGUGAAAUUACUAUCUUAUUCUUGCUGGCCCUUAUAACUAUUAUUAGGAUUCUUCUGUAGUGCUUUACAAGCAAUAACUAAUUAGACCCUUCCUUGGCAUUUCUGUGGCUAGACUGAGCAAUCCUGUUUAUAGUACAGUUGUGGUUGAGCUAUAAAUCCUACCCUGACAUCUGGGAAGAAAAAUACUCUCAGUUUCUGUGGAAAUAUGCCCCAUUCGUUGUGCUGCUUCCCCUUUGGUUUAAAUCUGGCACUCUCAUUUUAUUUCCAAACUCUGCACUUCUGCCAGAUGGCACAGCACUCUUCCCAACAUGCUCCAUCUGGCUACAAUAAGGAAACUUUCUAUAGCAUCUGAAUCAAAACCACUCAAAAAUAUAGUCUGUGCUAGAAAAUCAGCACAUCAGGAUUGAAUUCAUUCAACCCAAUUCUGUCCUCAGAUACGUAUGUGCACAAGAACAUCCAAUGCACCGAUCAGCUCAGGGCUCCCU